AUUGAACGCUGGCGGCAUGCCUUACACAUGCAAGUCGAACGGUAACAGGUCUUCGGAUGCUGACGAGUGGCGAACGGGUGAGUAAUACAUCGGAACGUGCCUAGUAGUGGGGGAUAACUACUCGAAAGAGUGGCUAAUACCGCAUGAGAUCUACGGAUGAAAGCAGGGGAUCGCAAGACCUUGUGCUACUAGAGCGGCCGAUGGCGGGUUAGGUAGUUGGUGGGAUAAAAGCUUACCAAGCCGACGAUCUGUAGCUGGUCUGAGAGGACGAUCAGCCACACUGGGACUGAGACACGGCCCAGACUCCUACGGGAGGCAGCAGUGGGGAAUUUUGGACAAUGGGCGCAAGCCUGAUCCAGCAAUGCCGCGUGCAGGAUGAAGGCCUUCGGGUUGUAAACUGCUUUUGUACGGAACGAAAAGCCCCGGGUUAAUACCCUGGGGUCAUGACGGUACCGUAAGAAUAAGCACCGGCUAACUACGUGCCAGCCGCCGCGGUAA
Molecule: ribosomal RNA, 498 nt
Filed under: uncultured bacterium
Lineage: Bacteria
Description: partial 16S ribosomal RNA
Rfam family: Bacterial small subunit ribosomal RNA
Source: RNAcentral